Molecule: ribosomal RNA, 42 nt
Filed under: Diplodia sapinea
Lineage: Eukaryota; Fungi; Ascomycota; Dothideomycetes; Botryosphaeriales; Botryosphaeriaceae
Description: partial 28S ribosomal RNA
Source: RNAcentral
CCUCGGAUCAGGUAGGGAUACCCGCUGAACUUAAGCAUAUAA